RNAcentral lists this ribosomal RNA (251 nucleotides) under uncultured prokaryote. RNAcentral's name for it is "partial 16S rRNA". It matches the Rfam family "Bacterial small subunit ribosomal RNA", at positions 525 to 775 of the family's 1533-position model. The record is from RNAcentral.
ACGAAGGGUGCGAGCGUUAUUCGGAAUCACUGGGCGUAAAGAGUGCGUAGACGGUCCAUUAAGUUUGUUGUUAAAGACUCUAGCCUAACUGGAGGGUUGCAAUGAAAACUGGUGAGCUGGAGGGUGAGAGAGAGAAGUGGAAUUCCUGGAGUAGCGGUAAAAUGCUUGGAUCUCAGGAGGAACACCAAUGGCGAAGGCAGCUUCUUGGCUCAGUCCUGACGUUGAGGCGCGAAAGCGUGGGGAGCAAAAAG